RNAcentral lists this long non-coding RNA (231 nucleotides) under Nicotiana benthamiana. RNAcentral's name for it is "long non-coding RNA (NBEN_LNC027398)". Lineage: Eukaryota; Viridiplantae; Streptophyta; Magnoliopsida; Solanales; Solanaceae. The record is from RNAcentral.
AGCAUGUAACCAUGGUUACAUGUAUGUAACCUUAGUUAGUCCAUCAUUAACUAAGGUUAUCCUUUUGGGUAUCUACACAUUAGUCCUACACUUUAUAUGAUAAUAUAUUGGCCACCUUAACAGUGUCCAUAAGACCACCAAAUUAGGCCAAACCAAAAGAUAGCACAUAACAUGUAAUUAAUCCAUAUAUUGUUCAUAUGUAUGUAGAUAUAAGUCCAUAUAUCUAACAAU